This 300-nucleotide ribosomal RNA is filed under the name uncultured Bacillus sp. RNAcentral describes it as "bacterial SSU rRNA". It matches the Rfam family "Bacterial small subunit ribosomal RNA", at positions 496 to 795 of the family's 1533-position model. Lineage: Bacteria; Bacillati; Bacillota; Bacilli; Caryophanales; Bacillaceae. The record is from RNAcentral.
GCAAACUCGUUGCCACCGGCGGCGGUAAAACUAGGGAGGCAGCGUGUGUCCGGAGUUACUGGGCUGAAAGCGCACGAAGGCGGCUGCGUAAGUCGGACGUGAAAGCUCCUGGCUCAACGGGGAGAGGUCGUUCGAAACUGCGCGGCUUGAGGUUGGAAAAGGAGAGCGGAAUUCCCGGUGUAGUGGUGGAAUGCGUAGAUAUCGGGAGGAACACCAGUGGCGAAAGCGGCUCUCUGGUCCACACCUGACGCUCAGGUGCGAAAGCGUGGGUAGCGAACGGGAUUAGAUACCCCGGUAGUC